This 761-nucleotide ribosomal RNA is filed under the name Vreelandella aquamarina. Its description in RNAcentral is "bacterial SSU rRNA". It matches the Rfam family "Bacterial small subunit ribosomal RNA", at positions 56 to 815 of the family's 1533-position model. Lineage: Bacteria; Pseudomonadati; Pseudomonadota; Gammaproteobacteria; Oceanospirillales; Halomonadaceae. The record is from RNAcentral.
UGCAGUCGAGCGGUAACAGAUCCAGCUUGCUGGAUGCUGACGAGCGGCGGACGGGUGAGUAAUGCAUAGGAAUCUGCCCGAUAGUGGGGGAUAACCUGGGGAAACCCAGGCUAAUACCGCAUACGUCCUACGGGAGAAAGGGGGCUCCGGCUCCCGCUAUGGGAUGAGCCUAUGUCGGAUUAGCUAGUUGGUGAGGUAACGGCUCACCAAGGCCACGAUCCGUAGCUGGUCUGAGAGGAUGAUCAUCCACAUCGGGACUGAGACACGGCCCGAACUCCUACGGGAGGCAGCAGUGGGGAAUAUUGGACAAUGGGGGCGACCCUGAUCCAGCCAUGCCGCGUGUGUGAAGAAGGCCCUCGGGUUGUAAAGCACUUUCAGCGAGGAAGAACGCCUAGCGGUUAAUACCCGCUAGGAAAGACAUCACUCGCAGAAGAAGCACCGGCUAACUCCGUGCCAGCAGCCGCGGUAAUACGGAGGGUGCAAGCGUUAAUCGGAAUUACUGGGCGUAAAGCGCGCGUAGGUGGCUUGAUAAGCCGGUUGUGAAAGCCCCGGGCUCAACCUGGGAACGGCAUCCGGAACUGUCAAGCUAGAGUGCAGGAGAGGAAGGUAGAAUUCGCGGUGUAGCGGUGAAAUGCGUAGAGAUCGGGAGGAAUACCAGUGGCGAAUGCGGCCUUCUGGACUGAGACUGACACUGAGGUGCGAAAGCGUGGGUAGCAAACAGGAUUAGAUACCCUGGUAGUCCACGCCGUAUACGAUGUCGA